UGGGGAAUAUUGCACAAUGGGCGCAAGCCUGAUGCAGCCAUGCCGCGUGUAUGAAGAAGGCCUUCGGGUUGUAAAGUACUUUCAGCGGGGAGGAAGGCGAUAAGGUUAAUAACCUUGUCGAUUGACGUUACCGCAGAAGAAGCACCGGCUAACUCCGUGCCAGCAGCCGCGGUAAUAACGGGGGUGCAAAGCGUUAAUCGGAAUUACUGGGCGUAAAGCGCAACGCAGGCGGUCCUGUCAAAGUCGGAUGUGAAAAUCCCCCGGGCGUCAAACCU
RNAcentral lists this ribosomal RNA (275 nucleotides) under uncultured Enterobacteriaceae bacterium. RNAcentral's name for it is "partial 16S ribosomal RNA". It matches the Rfam family "Bacterial small subunit ribosomal RNA", at positions 355 to 615 of the family's 1533-position model. The record is from RNAcentral. Lineage: Bacteria; Pseudomonadati; Pseudomonadota; Gammaproteobacteria; Enterobacterales; Enterobacteriaceae.